GUGUUGUAUGAAAGGAGAGAAGGUUAGGACUCCCCUUGACAAGGAUGGAAGAGGCUCUCAGGCCUGACAACAUGCAAUCGGUUAAGGCAUUACCACCUACUCCAUGGCAUCUAACCACUGUUUUUU
This 126-nucleotide non-coding RNA is filed under the name Capra hircus (goat). The record is from RNAcentral. Lineage: Eukaryota; Metazoa; Chordata; Mammalia; Artiodactyla; Bovidae.